Molecule: ribosomal RNA, 500 nt
Filed under: uncultured Myrionecta
Lineage: Eukaryota; Ciliophora; Litostomatea; Cyclotrichida; Mesodiniidae
Description: SSU rRNA
Rfam family: Eukaryotic small subunit ribosomal RNA
Source: RNAcentral
GCUGUUCAGAUAGCCAUGCACGUCUAAGUACAAACUAAAUGAUGGUGAAACUGCAAAUGGCUCAUUACAACGGUUAUGAUGUACCCGGGAGUUCCGAUGGAUAUUUCCAGUAACACUAGAACUAAUACAUGUCCCUGCGUUUAUUAGUUUCGCACAGUCCGUCGCUGAGUCAUGGUAAACAGUUGAUCGACUCGACGUCCCGGAACAGUUUCCGCCCCAUCAGCUUCGAUGGUUGGGUAUUGGCCUACCAUUGCAACAACGGGUAACGAGGAAUUAGGGUUUGAUUUCGGAGAGGGAGCCUGAGAAACGGCUACCACAUCUACGGAUGGCAGCAGGCGCGCAAAUUACCCAAUGCAGACACUGUGAGGUAGUGACGAGAAAUAAUAAAGCGGGACUUCUGUUUCGCUAUUAUAAUGAGGAAUAACCAAAGGUCAUUCCGAUUAGCAACUGAUGGGAAAGUCUGGUGCCAGCAGCCGCGGUAAUACCAGCGUCAGUAGCAU